AUGGCCCAUUCCCACGGCCCCUCCCUCCUCCUCGCUCCUCGCCAUGGCCUCCUACUCCCCUCCACCACCAUACGUGCACACAGACGGCGGUGCCGGAGAAGAGCAGCUCCAGUCAUGGUGGGGUGCGGCUGCGACGGAGAUGAAGGAGGUCCGCCGCCCAUGUUUGUCUCCUUGCUGUAUCCUUUGUUACCGAUCCUCCCUUCUCCCUUCGCCCCUAGCAGCACAGCAGUCGGGGACAAGGGGAAGGAGCAGGUCGACCCGAAUCCAUCUCUCUGCAAGAGGACUAGAGGAGCAGGUGGCGAGGGAAACCGGCACGGUCAGCGGCGGCGCUGCACAGGGACGUCCACCUCCGGAGAAUGUCGAUUUAAAGCAUUUGGUUCUGAUGGAUCAUAUUAUUGGUUCUCUGUUCAACUGAAGAUGUCUUUAGAUAGGACUAAGGUGAGUUGA
Molecule: ribosomal RNA, 447 nt
Filed under: Triticum aestivum (bread wheat)
Lineage: Eukaryota; Viridiplantae; Streptophyta; Magnoliopsida; Poales; Poaceae
Description: partial small subunit ribosomal RNA
Source: RNAcentral